AGUGAACGCUGGCGGUAGGCCUAACACAUACAAGUCGAACGGCAGCACAGUAAGAGCUUGCUCUUACGGGUGGCGAGUGGCGGACGGGUGAGGAAUACAUCGGAAUCUACUUUUUCGUGGGGGAUAACGUAGGGAAACUUACGCUAAUACCGCAUACGACCUACGGGUGAAAGCAGGGGAGCUUCGGACCUUGCGCGAUUGAAUGAGCCGAUGUCGGAUUAGCUAGUUGGCGGGGUAAAGGCCCACCAAGGCGACGAUCCGUAGCUGGUCUGAGAGGAUGAUCAGCCACACUGGAACUGAGACACGGUCCAGACUCCUACGGGAGGCAGCAGUGGGGAAUAUUGGACAAUGGGCGAAAGCCUGAUCCAGCCAUACCGCGUGUGUGAAGAAGGCCUUCGGGUUGUAAAGCCCUUUUGUUGGGAAAGAAAAGCAUCAGGUUAAUACCCCGCUGUUCUGACGGUACCCAAAGAAUAAGCACCGGCUAACUUCGUG
Molecule: ribosomal RNA, 492 nt
Filed under: uncultured bacterium
Lineage: Bacteria
Description: partial 16S ribosomal RNA
Rfam family: Bacterial small subunit ribosomal RNA
Source: RNAcentral